CCCACAAAUGCCAAUCUCCUUCUACUGUUGAGCAUUCAUAAGCCUGCACCACAGUUCAAGCGAGAGUGCCCUGGAACUCUCCAUUCCUGCUUGUACAUUUCACCCCCAUGUCCUCCAAGGGCAGAUGAGUCAUUGAGUGUGGAGACAGUUCUAUAGAGCACAGACUGUAUCACCAACUGGUCUUGCAAAAGCUUCUGAUAAUACUUACAAAGCUCUGAGAGUUCUGAGAAUUCUACUGACAGAAGAAGAGGGGUUUGGAAGAGGAAGUCAGAUAGAACAGGUGGUCACAGCACAGCUAUCUAAGCUGGGCUAAGAAAGAGGAAGCGUUCUCCUUUUUUGGCUUCCAGACAGCACUCUCCUUUGGGGAAAAACAAACAAAUUUUGUGGUGGUUGAAAGCCUAGAGGAACCAGAAGCCAUAUGCUGUGUGGUGCUGCUGCCCAGGCCCCGCGGCCCUGGAAUGGGAUGUCGCGUCCCACCAGGACUUUAUUCAUUCCCAGUGCAGGGCACUGUGCCUGCUGUUGGCGUACCAGAGGUGAGCAUGGGCAGACAGCUCUCUGCACAGAGUGAGCUGUUCAUCAGGAUAUGCAAAAAUAGCAUCCCACCUACCAAAUAUCUGUCAUCUAUGUUCAGAUUGCUUUUUCAUUUUCUCUCUCUCAUUUUUUGAAAAAAAAAAAUCAUUAAAUAAGUACAGUUCCCCACUAGGAAGCUCUAACUUUGGAUUGGACAUGACUCAGGUCAUAUUCUCUGAAAACUCAAUGAUUUUUCUCCUGGAAGAGUAUUUCUUCAAUGGUGGUCUGAAGACAGCAGGUGGUCCUUGACCAGCCAGUAAAUCAAGCAUCUAUAGCUCCCUUGUUGACAGGGUGGGGCAAGAAGGAUGAAUGAGGACACAGUGGGGUGGGAAUGGGGGUGAACAGGGUGGGGAGCGUCUGCCUUGACCAGAAAGGGCAGCCAUUUUCCGCUGGAAAUAGAAGCUGAAAACUGGAUUGUUUUUAAAUGUAAAAUCUUCAUUUUUUAAAAUGCUGGUAACCAAACUUCAGAAAAACUAAAUCACUUGCGCAGGCCAAACAAAGAAUUUGUGGGCUGAGUUCCAGCCACAGACUACAAGUGUGUGACCUAGGCUAUAGGUGGUCACUGCCCUGGUUCUUUUGUACAAUUAGCACCAAUAUUUCAAAUCAGAAAAUGAGUGUUGAUAGGGUACUUGGAGUUCAUCUAGCUUAACCUCUCACUUCAUGUUAAAAUCCCUUCUCUGAAACAGAUGGUCACCCUGAAUUUAAGUAAGUUAAUAAUUGAAACCAGAAGUGUGCAGUUUCUUCAUUAGCUUCUUAUUUAAAACACUGUGGGGUAGGAUUAGGUAAGGAUGGAGGUAGAGGUGGGUUGAGGGGAGCAGGCCGAAGAUAGAGGGCUGGAAGGGGCCUCAAUGUUGAUUUUUUAAAUGCUUCUCUUAUUGCUAAUUGUAAGACAGACACACUUAAUUUUAUUGGACUUUGUAGAUACUAGCUUUUUAUUUUUAUUUUUUUAACAAAUUGAAGGUUUAUAGCACCUCUGCAUCAAGCAAGUCUAUCACUGACGUUUUCCAGUGGGAUUUGCUCAAUUUGUGUCUCUGUAACAUUAUGGUAAUUCUUGCAAUAUUUCAAACUUUUUCAUUGUUAUUUUUACAUUUGUUAUGGUGAUGUGUGAUCAGUGAUCUUUGAUCUGACUAUUGCAAAAGAAUUAUGACUCAAUAAAGGCUCAUGAUGAUUAGCAUUUUUUUUAGCAAUUAAGUAUUUGUAAAGAAUGCAAUCUUUUUAGACAAAACAUUAUUGCACACUUACUAGACUGUGGUGUAGUGUAAACAUUACUUUUAUGUGCACUGGGAAGUGAAAACAUUUGUAUGACUCUUUACUGAGAUAUUUGCUUUAUUGUAGUGGUCUGGAACUGAACCCACAAUAUAUCUGAGGUGUAUAUAUAGACAGAUAAAUGAAUGUUUAUAUACAUAUAUCUAUAUCUGUAUGUAGAUAGAUAGUUUCUGCCCUGGUGGCUCAGAUGGUAAAGAGUCUGCCUGCAAUGCAAGAGACCUGGGUUUGAUCCCUGGGUCGGGAAGAUCCCCUGGAGAAGGGAAUGGCAAACCACUCCAGUAUUCUUGCCUGGAGAAUCUCAAAGUCAGAGGAGCCUGGCAGGCUACUGUCCAUAGGGUCUCAAAGAGUCGGACACAACUGAGUGACUAACACUUUAACUUUCAUGUCUAUAUAUGUAUAUUUUUAAACUCUAAUUUAUUAAAAUGAAUCAAUACAUUUUGGGACUUAGGUUUCCCAGAAUUCCCAGAAGGAAACAGAACACUGGACAUGAAGUGGACCUGAUAACUAUUGUUUGCCUACUCCCUCAUUUUAUAGUCAACGGAACUAAGAUCCAUUAGGUUUAAACUGUUGCCUUAAAGACAUGUCAGACGUGACUGAACCCUAGUGUAAUUAAUAUUUCUUUCAAUGAGUCAAGUUGUAACUAGG
Molecule: long non-coding RNA, 2481 nt
Filed under: Capra hircus (goat)
Lineage: Eukaryota; Metazoa; Chordata; Mammalia; Artiodactyla; Bovidae
Description: lncRNA (ENSCHIG00000007666.1)
Source: RNAcentral